GGGCUUAUAGCUCAGUUGGGCAGAGCGCACGCCUGAUAAGCGUGAGGGCGGUGGUUCAAAUCCACCUAAGCCCACCA
This 77-nucleotide transfer RNA is filed under the name Bacillota bacterium. RNAcentral describes it as "Firmicutes bacterium (anaerobic digester metagenome) tRNA-Ile". It matches the Rfam family "tRNA". From Rfam's summary of the family: Transfer RNA (tRNA) molecules are approximately 80 nucleotides in length. Their secondary structure includes four short double-helical elements and three loops (D, anti-codon, and T loops). Further hydrogen bonds mediate the characteristic L-shaped molecular structure. tRNAs have two regions of fundamental functional importance: the anti-codon, which is responsible for specific mRNA codon recognition, and the 3' end, to which the tRNAs corresponding amino acid is attached (by aminoacyl-tRNA synthetases). tRNAs cope with the degeneracy of the genetic code in two manners: having more than one tRNA (with a specific anti-codon) for a particular amino acid; and 'wobble' base-pairing, i.e. permitting non-standard base-pairing at the 3rd anti-codon position. Lineage: Bacteria; Bacillati; Bacillota. The record is from RNAcentral.